Molecule: RNA transcript, 1864 nt
Organism: Drosophila bipectinata
Lineage: Eukaryota; Metazoa; Arthropoda; Insecta; Diptera; Drosophilidae
Source: RefSeq, a predicted model, not a curated record
AAAUGCUUCGGCUGCGCUGCACACAGUCGAAAAAAAAUUUGGAGAAGAAAAUUUCAAAGAGCUCUGGUGUGCGUCGGAUGUCAGUUUGUCGUCACUGUAAAGUCGCAAACAUGUUAUAGAUUGUAAUGAAGAAGAGAGAAAGAGGAUGGGAGAGUGUGAGAAGACGAUGAGCAAACGGCCUUCGAUCGAAAAUGGUGUGAGUCAUGGCGCUGAAACAAAACCCAUGAAGAAAUCAAUCUGUGCGAACGCCACCAGAAAGAGGCUUGGUUCAGGAUCACACUCGUUUCCUGCUCCUCGAACGUUAAUGGCAACGCUGAGGAGGAACGGAAUACUAACCAAGCAACACGACGAAAUCCGUACGCAAGCGGAUGCGGAAUUGGAUCCGCUGUAAACAUGUACAAAGCCACGGCGGUCGCUCGCCAGAAGCAUUCGUUCAUUUACCGAGUUACUGAGUGAGUCUUCACGUCUGUCCGAGUAACCCCUACCUCCACCGCCCGGCAGUGAGUUCCGCAAUACAGCCGAUGGCCGAUUCAGUACAAAUCGCCGGAGAUGAGCACGGAGCAGCAGCAGCAAACACCACCGAGUCUCCUCUGCAUGACAUGACCACAACUGACAUGGGGACAUAUAUCACAAGGGGACAAGGCGGAAUGCGCGCAGCAGCAGCUCCAGCUCUCAUCAGCUUACCUGCGUUUGAAGCUCUCGUGCCCUCAUCGAGGCUGUGCCACCACUACCACCAACUACCACCACCUAUUCUGCAUAGCCCGCUUCGCAGCUGCUGACCACCACCCACCCAUCCACACAGUUACACGGUAUUUGGUAUAUCAGCUGCGAACAAAUAUUGCUUUUUUGAACAGAUUUACAGCGAAAAGAACAAGUCAAAAGCAUAACCAAGACAAAGGAAUAUCUAUCAUAUCAUCGGCAAAUCGUUCUACAACUCAACGGUUCGGAAUUUGAGGAGCCACUGUUGCAAAAUUCGUUUCACUUCGCAUGUAAGCAGCUUGGGAUAAUUAUUUUGAUUAAUUCCUGAAUUGCAGACGUCAGUAAUUCUGACAUCAACUGGGUUUUAUGAUUGCUUCACUGUACAGUGUACACACAUUGUUGGAUCUUCUGUUUUAUUUGAUUGGACCCUAGGCACACGUCUUCACUUUCAGACUCCUAAACUUUGGGCCUUUCAAAGCCAAUUUCAUCUUUAUUGUAGCGCCACUUCACAGUUGAGCUGUUCCUGUGGGUGCAAGGGCUGAUGUUGGAUGUCACUGAAGAAACACGCAAUAGUUGGUAGUAUAGGAACAACCGUCACGUUUUCCCUUAUUUUUUUUAGCGAUGCGACGCAGUUGAGCUGUGCCUGCGUUCAUCUGUAUGAGCGUGUGGGAUGAAGAUACCUUAAAGUCUGCCCAAGCGACACACUGGGCAACCACGUCUGCUCGAUGGGAUGGUAGCCGAAGCGUAAAUCGUUUUUAUACUUAACCAGACCAAAUGUUCGUUUUAAAUAUUUUUAGCAGAGUAAUCUUGUAGAAAAGAAUUGGAAUGCAAGGCGAAUAUUGAAACUGGCAUAAGAGGAAGACCGCCAAACAAAGUUAGUAGACUAGGACAAGCUUCAAUAUUUCCUUUAUUUUUUUUUAGCGAUGCGACGCAGUUGAGCGGUGCCUGCGUGCAUCGGCCCGAAUGAGUGGCAGAAGGAUGUAUCUCUGGUCUUAGUCGACUUGUUGAUAUCGAAAGUCCAAAGAACACGUCAAGGGGAUCAAUUUCCAUAAGAGUAACCUAGUUUUUUUUGAUACCUUAUCCGAAAAAAUUGCUCGUCCUUUUAAAUAUUCAUUUUAGCACAAAGAUGUGUACCCGGCUUCCGUAUAGGCUAGCGACAACAAAA